This 624-nucleotide ribosomal RNA is filed under the name uncultured archaeon. Its description in RNAcentral is "bacterial SSU rRNA". It matches the Rfam family "Archaeal small subunit ribosomal RNA", at positions 339 to 999 of the family's 1478-position model. The record is from RNAcentral.
GCGCGAAAACUUCACACUGCAGGAAACUGUGAUGAGGGAACUCCAAGUGACUGUUCUUGGAAUAAGGGCUGGGAAAGACCGGUGCCAGCCGCCGCGGUAAUACCGGCAGCUCAAGUGGUCGUCGCUUUUAUUGGGCCUAAAACGUCCGUAGCCUGUUUGGUAAAUCUGUGGGUAAAUCAACGAGCUUAACUCGUUGAAUUCUGCAGAGACUGCCAGACUAGGGACCGGGAGAGGUAUGAGGUACUCUGGGGGUAGGGGUAAAAUCCUGUCAUCCCCAGAGGACCACCUGUUGUGAAGGCGUCAUACUGGAACGGAACCGACGGCCAGGGACGAAGCCUAGGGGCACGAACCGGUUUAGAUACCCGGGUAGUCCUAGGUGUAAACGCUGUGGAUUUGGUGUGUGGGGUCCGCAAUGGGCCCCAUGUGCCGGAGUGAAGAUGUUAAAUCCACUGCCUGGGGAGUACGGUCGCAAGGCUGAAACUUAAAGGAAUUGGCGGGGGAGCACGCAACGGGAGGAGCGUGCGGUUUAAUUGGAUUCAACGCCGGAAAACUCACCAAGGCCGACUGCUAGAUGAAGAUCAGCGUAACGAGCUUAUUGGAUUAUCAGAGAAGUAGUGCAUGGCC